GACGAACGCUGGCGGCGUGCCUAAUACAUGCAAGUCGAACGCUUCUUUCCUCCCGAGUGCUUGCACUCAAUUGGAAAGAGGAGUGGCGGACGGGUGAGUAACACGUGGGUAACCUACCCAUCAGAGGGGGAUAACACUUGGAAACAGGUGCUAAUACCGCAUAACAGUUUAUGCCGCAUGGCAUAAGAGUGAAAGGCGCUUUCGGGUGUCGCUGAUGGAUGGACCCGCGGUGCAUUAGCUAGUUGGUGAGGUAACGGCUCACCAAGGCCACGAUGCAUAGCCGACCUGAGAGGGCGAUCGGCCACACUGGGACUGAGACACGGCCCAGACUCCUACGGGAGGCAGCAGUAGGGAAUCUUCGGCAAUGGACGAAAGUCUGACCGAGCAACGCCGCGUGAGUGAAGAAGGUUUUCGGAUCGUAAAACUCUGUUGUUAGAGAAGAACAAGGACGUUAGUAACUGAACGUCCCCUGACGGUAUCUAACCAGAAAGCCACGGCUAACUACGUG
Molecule: ribosomal RNA, 508 nt
Filed under: uncultured bacterium
Lineage: Bacteria
Description: partial 16S ribosomal RNA
Rfam family: Bacterial small subunit ribosomal RNA
Source: RNAcentral